Pelobates cultripes (western spadefoot toad) is the source of this 311-nucleotide non-coding RNA. The record is from the annotation of a GenBank genome assembly. Lineage: Eukaryota; Metazoa; Chordata; Amphibia; Anura; Pelobatidae.
AUGUAAUAAGAUGUACAAUUCCUGCAAAAAGAACCUUAAAUGUAUGUUUAAAAAAAUAUGUUGCCUAGAUUCUACCCAUUAUUCUCUCGUUUCAAGAAAGGUAGCUGCCACAACUGCCCUCAUUCUCAAAAGUAGUCUCAGUGCUCUUUGUUCUGUAGCUGUAUUCAACCAUCAGUGUGCUUCCAAGGGAAUCGGCAAACAACAUCUCCCUUAUAGAAUCUGGCAAGUUUGUUAAACUUUAUUUGAAUUGUACACCAAAAUAUUUGAGAUGGAAACCUAGAUGAAUAGGCAAAUUUGACCAAACUGGCAAG